GAUGAAGAACGUAGCGAAAUGCGAUAAGUAAUGUGAAUUGCAGAAUUCCGUGAAUCAUCGAAUCCUUGAACGCACAUUGCGCCCUUUGGUAUUCCUUAGGGCAUGCCUGUUCGAGCGUCAUUUAAACCUUCAAGCUAAGCUUGGUGUUGGGUGACUGUCCGCUUCACGGCGGACUCGCCUCAAAAUUAUUGGCGGCCGGUACAUUGGCUUCGAGCGCAGCAGAAACGCGAACUCGGGCCCGUCGUAUUGGCUCCCAGAAGCUAUCUUCACAAUUUUGACCUCGGAUCAGGUAGGGAUACCCGCUGAACUUAAGCAUAUCAAUAAGCGGAGGA
Molecule: unclassified non-coding RNA, 332 nt
Filed under: soil metagenome
Description: partial contains 5.8S ribosomal RNA, internal transcribed spacer 2, and large subunit ribosomal RNA
Rfam family: 5.8S ribosomal RNA (bases 1-120)
Source: RNAcentral